ACUCAAAUGAAUAGACGGGGGCCCGCACAAGCAGCGGAGCGUGUGGUUUAAUUCGAGGCUACACGAAGAACCUUACCUGGGUUUGACAUGUAUUUGAACAAAGGCGAAAGCCGGCGGUUCGCAAGACAGAUGCACAGGUGCUGCAUGGCUGUCGUCAGCUCGUGCCGUGAGGUGUUAGGUUAAGUCCUGUAACGAGCGCAACCCCCGGGUCCAGUUACAAGUUGUCUGGACCGACUGCCCGUGACAAGCGGGAGGAAGGUGGGGACGACGUCAAGUCAGCAUGGCCUUUAUAUCCAGGGCUACACACACGCUACAAUGGUCGGUACAAUGGGUCGCCAAGCCGCAAGGCGGAGCCAAUCCAAUCAAAGCCGAUCACAGUUCGGAUUGUGGGCUGCAACCCGCCCACAUGAAGUCGGAGUUGCUAGUAACCGCGGGUCAGCUAUACCGCGGUGAAUACGUUCCCGGGCCUUGUACACACCGCCCGU
RNAcentral lists this ribosomal RNA (485 nucleotides) under uncultured bacterium. RNAcentral's name for it is "partial 16S ribosomal RNA". It matches the Rfam family "Bacterial small subunit ribosomal RNA", at positions 899 to 1397 of the family's 1533-position model. The record is from RNAcentral.